GAUGAACGCUGGCGGCGUGCCUAAUACAUGCAAGUCGAGCGAACGGACGAGAAGCUUGCUUCUCUGAUGUUAGCGGCGGACGGGUGAGUAACACGUGGAUAACCUACCUAUAAGACUGGGAUAACUUCGGGAAACCGGAGCUAAUACCGGAUAAUAUUUUGAACCGCAUGGUUCAAAAGUGAAAGACGGUCUUGCUGUCACUUGUAGAUGGAUCCGCGCUGCAUUAGCUAGUUGGUAAGGUAACGGCUUACCAAGGCAACGAUGCAUAGCCGACCUGAGAGGGUGAUCGGCCACCCUGGAACUGAGACACGGUCCAGACUCCUACGGGAGGCAGCAGUAGGGAAUCUUCCGCAAUGGGCGAAAGCCUGACGGAGCAACGCCGCGUGAGUGAUGAAGGUCUUCGGAUCGUAAAACUCUGUUAUUAGGGAAGAACAUAUGUGUAAGUAACUGUGCACAUCUUGACGGUACCUAAUCAGAAAGCCACGGCUAACUACGUG
Molecule: ribosomal RNA, 497 nt
Filed under: uncultured bacterium
Lineage: Bacteria
Description: partial 16S ribosomal RNA
Rfam family: Bacterial small subunit ribosomal RNA
Source: RNAcentral